Long non-coding RNA from Myzus persicae (green peach aphid), 1487 nucleotides. RefSeq lists it as uncharacterized. Lineage: Eukaryota; Metazoa; Arthropoda; Insecta; Hemiptera; Aphididae. The record is from RefSeq and is a predicted model, not a curated record. The transcript is spliced from 7 exons.
CUUUUGUUUGUACCAUUUUGCUUCCCAAAGUUAGUUCAUAGAAGAGUUGUAGUCUUACAAUAUAGAAUAUCACGCUAUAGCCUAUAUAUAGUGCCGUGAAUGUCGAUAAAAAUUAAAGCUCAGAUUAUAUAAUAGGUAGAGCUCAUAUACUAUAAUAAUAAAUGUACCUUAUUUCAAGAGACAGUUUAGUUUUAUUCGCCUAAAAUCAACCAACAUUCUAGUACCUCAGAGUUAAAAGUUGAUGUUUGUGAUUAUGCAUUUCAGGCAAAUAUUCAUAAGCUGUUGCGUACCCAGUAAUGUGCGUCCGAUAAGUACAUUUUCAUCAAUAUUGUUGUCACGUUGGUCUUCCGUUAUCGAGAUUGAUUCGCUAUUGACUCAGUCGCCUAAUAACCACGGAAAGCACACUACGAGUGAGCAACUCAUCUUCCGCACCAUUUCAAAAAGUAUUCGAUGACAAUACAACUCAGAGUUAAAUUUUCAAACAUGUGGCCGUUCCGAUACUAGACAAAUAUUUAUCUGGUACGAAUGGCACUUUCUUUGCAUAUGGACAGACUGGUAGUGGUAAAUCCCAUACUAUUUAUGGAUCCCAAGAAGACGAAGGUAUAAUUCCAAGAUCUUUGAAAUACUUAUUUGAUAAUAAGUUAUCCAUUCAAUCUACAGAUGAACGUAACACAUUCUCAAUGGCAUACUUUGAAAUUUACAACGAAACAGUAUAUAAUUUAUUGAAACCGCCAAAAAAUAGACAGAAAUCAAAUGUUAACUUUAACAAUCUGGGACCUGAUAAUGCUGUACGUUUCACGGUCGAUAAAAACGGAGACGUUACAUUUAGAAACCUGAAUAUUAUAAGGAUCAAAAACGUAUCUCAAGCGUUUAAGUAGUUGAUAUCAGGUAAUACUAGACGGCAAGUUUCAUCGACCUUCCUUAACCAUAAAUCAAGCCGAUCACACUGCAUAUGUAGAAUCGAGUACGUCAACAGGACGAAAGGAGAGAAAUCGAACAAAACAGUUCUAAAUUUGGUGGACUUAGCAGGUUCUGAAUGCAUUUCGAAACUAAACAACGACAAACAGACUAUCGCCGAAUCAAGAUUUAUCAAUUUAUCCCUGAUGCAUCUACAUCAGGUGAUAAACUGCUUGGCGAGUCCGGUCAAACGGACGCACGUGCCCUACCGAAACUCGGCAAUAACACGAUUGCUCAAGGGUUCGUUGGGGUAUAACUGUGUGACCGUGAUGAUUACCACUAUAGUAUUGAACCAACCGAGUUUAGAAGAGGGUUUAUUCACUAACGCUCACGAAAUGUCUGGUAAAUCGAUUAUAAUCUUUGAGUAACUAUUUCAGGAAUCAACGUCUACUUGCAAAUAUGCAAGAGACGUUUCAGGCAUAAAACCUAUAGAAAUCAAACCUGUGAUACGGAAAAGAAGAUUUGCAAAGAGAGUUGCUAAGAAAGUAAAUUGUUGAUACAUCUAAUACAUAUAAUAAAUAAUAAAUACA